AGUGUCAUAUUAUAAAAAUAAUAUUACUAAAACUCAAGCUUUACCUAUUAAUAUGCAAGAGUCAACUAUUCGAAAGCUGAAAGAUGAAUACCCAUUCGAAUGGAGAAAUAAAUCUAUAAAAUAUCUUGGUAUUCAUCUUUCAGUUUCAAAACAGGAAAUGAUAAAAAAUUACCAUAGCAAAUUAUUAAGAGAAGUACAAGAUACACU
Molecule: non-coding RNA, 207 nt
Organism: Pelobates cultripes (western spadefoot toad)
Lineage: Eukaryota; Metazoa; Chordata; Amphibia; Anura; Pelobatidae
Source: the annotation of a GenBank genome assembly